GAGGAACUGAAAAGGGGCGAGCUGGAGGCUGACAAAGACAAAAUGAUGAGAGAUUAUAGAGCUUAACUGGAUGCUGAAAGAGCUCAAAAGCUAGCAAACGGAAGAAAUCACUCAAGGUCAAACUCAAAAUCAUCAUCUUCCAAGAAAGAGAGGAAGGAUAAGGACGCAAAGAAAAGAAGUAAAAAGAGGAGAAAGCACAAAAGUUCAUCAGAGUCAAGUUCCAGCUCAUCUUCAGAAUCUUCAAGCAGCGACGAUGAGGAUAGGGGUUCAAGGAAGUCUAGAUCACAGUCGAGAUCAAAGAGAACAAGGAAGGAAAAGAAGAGCAGGUCAAGGUCCAAGUGCAGAGGCAGUGAAAGCGAGGGGGAAGGCCCGGUACCGGGUACGCCUCUCUAAAUUCUUCGGGAAGUAAGGAGUAGACGUUGUUGUACCCAAGAUGCCUUUUUCAUUUUGAAACGUAGAUUGGUGGGUUUGGAUGUAUCAUUCAACACAAAUUACUUCUGAAGGUUGAGCGAGCCGUUUACCAUGGUGUUCUCAAUAUGAUGCUCAGCUGUUAAGAGAGUCUAGUCAAGUUGUGUGGCUUCCAAAAACUUUGUAAGCAACUGGUAAGUCAUUGUUAAAUCGCUGUACCUUGGAGGAUUUGAUGCCAUAUAUUUGAGACAUUGAUCUGCUAUAUUUAUGUUAAGACUUUACAUACGCAGUCAGUUGUUUCAGUU
Molecule: long non-coding RNA, 713 nt
Organism: Zea mays
Lineage: Eukaryota; Viridiplantae; Streptophyta; Magnoliopsida; Poales; Poaceae
Exons: 3
Source: RefSeq, a predicted model, not a curated record